UACCAGCACCCCGAGUGGUUGGGACGAUUAUUGGGCCUAAAGCAUCCGUAGCCGGUCCUGCAAGUCUUCCGUUAAAUCCAGCUGCUCAACAGAUGGGCUGCGGGAGAUACUACAGGGCUAGGAGGCGGGAGAGGCAAGCGGUACUUUAUGAGUAGGGGUAAAAUCCGCUGAUCCAUAGAAGACCACCAGUGGCGAAGGCGGCUUGCCAGAACGCGCUCGACGGUGAGGGAUGAAAGCUGGGGGAGCAAACCGG
This 253-nucleotide ribosomal RNA is filed under the name uncultured bacterium. RNAcentral's name for it is "partial 16S ribosomal RNA". It matches the Rfam family "Archaeal small subunit ribosomal RNA", at positions 474 to 727 of the family's 1478-position model. The record is from RNAcentral.